CCUACGGGUGGCAGCAGUGGGGAAUAUUGGGCAAUGGGCGCAAGCCUGACCCAGCAACGCCGCGUGAAGGAAGAAGGCUUUCGGGUUGUAAACUUCUUUUCAGAGGGAAGAGGAGAAGACGGUACCUCUUGAAUAAGCCACGGCUAACUACGUGCCAGCAGCCGCGGUAAUACGUAGGUGGCAAGCGUUGUCCGGAUUUACUGGGUGUAAAGGGCGUGCAGCCGGGAAAACAAGUCGGAAGUGAAAACCCGCGGCUCAACCGCGGAACCGCAUUUGAAACUGGUAUUCUUGAGUACAGGAGAGGUCAGCGGAAUUCCUUGUGUAGCGGUGAAAUGCGUAGAUAUUAGGAAGAACACCAGUGGCGAAGGCGGAUGACUGGACGGCAACUGACGGUGAGGCGCGAAAGCGUGGGGAGCAAACAGGAUUAGAUACCCUUGUAGUC
RNAcentral lists this ribosomal RNA (442 nucleotides) under uncultured bacterium. RNAcentral describes it as "partial 16S ribosomal RNA". It matches the Rfam family "Bacterial small subunit ribosomal RNA", at positions 338 to 795 of the family's 1533-position model. The record is from RNAcentral.